GACCACCACUACAACUUCCUGGAUGUUUUUUUUGAGCUGAUUUUCUUCAGCUCUUUUAUAAAUGGCUCAAAACCUCAGCCAUUUAAGGGAGGAUUCUUGGAGCGCCUGCUUGCGCUCUUCAGCAUGUGGGACGUGGACGUGUGGGAGCCUGCAGCAGAGCUGUACUUCACAGUGCUUAUUGAUUACCUUACAGAGCUUGUUGAAGUACUGUUCACUCAGCCUCUGGAGCUGUACAGUGACCCAGCAGCCUUAGCCAGCACAGUUCAGCGACUCCUCAAGCUGCACGUCCAGCUGAUGAUGGACAUUUUGGAGGAGCUCUGAGCAAUGUCUUUCCCCUUACCCACUUCAUCUUUUCUUCCACUUCAUUUCAUGUUCUUUUCUCUCACUUCUUUUUCCUACAUUGCUCAGACUCCACACGUAAGUAUGAAUUAAUUUUUUUCUAUUUUUGAUGAACUUAAUAUUUUAAAAAUCUCUUCUCUUUUUUACAGGUUUGUACAGUGAACCCCAGGACCUUAAGAUCAUUCUUCCCUUAUUAAUCUAUCCCUUUUUAAUCAAUCCCUCUGUUCCUAUCCCU
Molecule: long non-coding RNA, 574 nt
Organism: Hemibagrus wyckioides
Lineage: Eukaryota; Metazoa; Chordata; Actinopteri; Siluriformes; Bagridae
Exons: 3
Source: RefSeq, a predicted model, not a curated record